RNAcentral lists this long non-coding RNA (685 nucleotides) under Mus pahari (shrew mouse). RNAcentral's name for it is "lncRNA (MGP_PahariEiJ_G0005643.1)". Lineage: Eukaryota; Metazoa; Chordata; Mammalia; Rodentia; Muridae. The record is from RNAcentral.
GAGAAAAUAGACUAUUAAUUGCACAAUUAAUAGAAAAGUGAAAAUGUUUCCAAAUCUACAAUAAACCUGUGUCCAAAGGAGUGACAGGUCAGUGGCGUGCUGAACUUUUGAUCUGGGGUCCAGCUGCAAUAGACUUGCUUGGUUAGCUGGCACGGGUAGGGCUCAUUUCCUGCCUGUUGAAGGGUGAUUAUGCUACACAGAGCUAUGAUGGUUUCUGAGUGGGAAAUUCACACAAGUUCUUGGUUAUUUGUAUCAGGAUCAUUCCUUGUGCAAACUUUGAUGUAGAUGAAGAUAAAGUGGUUUCUUGGUCAACAAUUGCAAUUUCUUUCUUUUAAAAUCAGUGGGUUUCUUGUAUAGUUCUAUUACGAUUGGCCCAGGUUUAAUUUCAUCCAUCUCCAUGAAGGCAAAACACUUGGUGCUGGUAAACCUCUUUUUAGGCUUAUAAUGUUUGAAUUCAAAGAAGAUGGCCUCACCUUUGGUUAACUUUUCAACAUGUUUCUGGAGCUCAAUGUCCACAUUAAAAUGAACAUAAGUAUCUUCUUUUCUUGAAGCCACAGGAGUAUCUUGUACGGGAGUUAAAUCUAUGCCAUUCAAAUCUUUCACGCUGACUGUGAUGUAGGGAUCCAUGCACUGCCCCGCGUCUUUCAAACCAAUUUUCUUAAUCCUGACGGUGAGUAACGUCAUC